AGUGAACGCUGGCGGUAGGCCUAACACAUGCAAGUCGAACGGCAGCACAGUAAGAGCUUGCUCUUACGGGUGGCGAGUGGCGGACGGGUGAGGAAUACAUCGGAAUCUACUUUUUCGUGGGGGAUAACGUAGGGAAACUUACGCUAAUACCGCAUACGACCUACGGGUGAAAGCAGGGGAUCUUCGGACCUUGCGCGAUUGAAUGAGCCGAUGUCGGAUUAGCUAGUUGGCGGGGUAAAGGCCCACCAAGGCGACGAUCCGUAGCUGGUCUGAGAGGAUGAUCAGCCACACUGGAACUGAGACACGGGCCAGACUCCUACGGGAGGCAGCAGUGGGGAAUAUUGGACAAUGGGGGCAAGCCUGGUCCAGCCAUACCGCGUGGGUGAAGAAGGCCUUCGGGUUGUAAAGCCCUUUUGUUGGGAAAGAAAAGCAGCAGGUUAAUACCCCGCUGUUCUGACGGUACCCAAAGAAUAAGCACCGGCUAACUUCGUGC
This 493-nucleotide ribosomal RNA is filed under the name uncultured bacterium. RNAcentral describes it as "partial 16S ribosomal RNA". It matches the Rfam family "Bacterial small subunit ribosomal RNA", at positions 29 to 508 of the family's 1533-position model. The record is from RNAcentral.